RNAcentral lists this ribosomal RNA (514 nucleotides) under uncultured bacterium. Its description in RNAcentral is "bacterial SSU rRNA". It matches the Rfam family "Bacterial small subunit ribosomal RNA", at positions 28 to 526 of the family's 1533-position model. The record is from RNAcentral.
GACGAACGCUGGCGGCGUGCCUAAUACAUGCAAGUCGAGCGGACCAAAGGGAGCUUGCUCCUGGAGGUUAGCGGCGAACGGGUGAGUAACACGUGGGCAACCUGCCUGUAAGACUGGGAUAACAUCGAGAAAUCGGUGCUAAUACCGGAUAAUAAAAAGAACUGCAUGGUUCUUUUUGUAAAGAUGGUUUCGGCUAUCACUUACAGAUGGGCCGCGGCGCAUUAGCUAGUUGGUGAGGUAACGGCUCACCAAGGCAACGAUGCGUAGCCGACCUGAGAGGGUGAUCGGCCACACUGGGACUGAGACACGGCCCAGACUCCUACGGGAGGCAGCAGUAGGGAAUCUUCCGCAAUGGACGAAAGUCUGACGGAGCAACGCCGCGUGAGUGAUGAAGGUUUUCGGAUCGUAAAACUCUGUUGUUAGGGAAGAACAAGUGCCGUUCGAAAGGGCGGCACCUUGACGGUACCUAACGAGAAAGCCACGGCUAACUACGUGCCAGCAGCCGCGGUAAAGU